Long non-coding RNA from Sus scrofa (pig), 2042 nucleotides. RefSeq lists it as uncharacterized. The record is from RefSeq and is a predicted model, not a curated record. NCBI's taxonomy places the organism in Eukaryota, Metazoa, Chordata, Mammalia, Artiodactyla, Suidae.
UUUCCAAAGCAGAAUUCACCCAGCUAGUUAAAGCAGAAGGGUUUAGUAAGCCACUAGUCUGUACUUGGCUGUGUCAACUUGGUUAGGCUGGAACUACAUUUCCCAGAAUCCCUCUCUCUCUCAGUGGGUCUAAGUUAGCACUGACCCGCAAGAGCAACUCAGGUGAGUGAGACUUUUGAAGGCGGAAGGGAAGAGCAGCCUCUACUUGUGCAAGUUCGCUGCGUUUUGAUGUGGUGACAAAGAGCAGCAGAUGUGCCAGCAGUCUCCAGCGUGUCCCUGCUGUCCUCCAGGUCUUCCUCCUGACUCGGCAUCAGCACCUGUCCCUGGACGCCUGGUUGCAGAGGAGUUGCACCAAUUUCAACUUCCACCAGCAAAGCACGAGGGGGCCCACAGCUCCACCAGUACUGAAGAAAAUCUUACUUAGAUGCUCCUGUGUCUUCAACCCUCCCCAACACUCACGCAUCUCCAUCUUAUCAGGGGAAGGGACUGAGGCACAGAGGGGUCCUGCCUGACUCCAGAGAAAAAACCUGACUGCAUGUUUAUCAUCGGAAAAUUUGACCACUGGCUAAAACUGUUGCCUGUCCAACAGCCAUCUUCCACUUCCCACUUGCAGAACACAGAAUUUGGCAGCACCAUACCCCAGAGUUUGGAGCGAUCACGUUAUAGCUGCAGCACCUCCCUGGCUUCGUGAGCAGUGGAAACCACGCAGCAGUGUCCCCUGUGUGUGCCUGGUCACAUCCUCAGUGCCAGAUUUUCUGCCCAAAUGUGGACAUGCUGAAGCACACGUCACUAAUUUCACUUCAGGAGAACAAAUGGGUCAUGUCCAAACACCUGCUUACUCCGCUCUAACCAACCCCCUCUGACUGGCGAGAAGGUGGGCGAACAGCAGCCACUGCUCCAUGGAUGUCCCGUCAGUCUCCAAGUGGCAACUGGAGGCAGGCUGUGCUCUGACUGAGGGCUGAGAGCCCUGUCUGUCCUCACUGUGGGAUGCCCGGUGCCUGCAACAGGGUGCACACAGUAGGUGUUCAGCUGGCGGAGCUACACCACAGCUGGGUAGUCUGUGAUCAAGCACCAAUCACACAGGUGUCUGGGCAGCAGGAUAAAUCCGGGGGCACUGAAUUCAGAUCUCAGCUCAUCCCGACUGCGUCAGCAAGGUCGGGACCCAUCAGCAGAACGGGAAGAGCACUAAUAAUGGCAGCUGUCACUCAGCACGGCUUCCUCCGUGCUGGCACCUGCAGAGCGCUUCCCCACGGCAGGAUUUCUUGGCCUCGGGGUUCCUGAGAUUUGGGGCUAAGCCUUUGCUCUGGGGCCUCCCGCCAGCAUGCAGGGGUGUUCAGCAGCAUCUCUGGUCCCUACCGGCUCCGUGCCGGCACCACCUCCUCCAGUUAGAGAGCGAAACACACCCGUGGACGUUGCCAGCGCUCCUUUGGGGGCAAACUGCCCCCACCCCUGCCCCCUGGGAACCACUGACGUACAGAAAUUCAUUCCACUGUCACCAUAAUCCUUAUGAAAGUGGAAUUAAUGUAAUUCCCAUUUUAAAGACAGAGCCACUGAGGCCCAGGGCGCUGUUGGUAAGAAUGGUAAAUGGUGCAGCUGCUGGGGAAAAGAGGACGGCAGUUCCUCAGGAAAACUGCAAACUGAACUACCCUGUGAUGUAGAAAUUCCAUGUCUGGUAUACGCCCCUAAAACACUGCGGGCAGUCUUCAAGAGACAUUUGUCCACCUGUGAAUGGGCACAGCAGCAUUAUCCACAACAGCCGAAGGGUGGAAGCAGCCCUCAUGUGCCCUGGAUAAGCAAAAUGCGGCCUAUACAUACAAGGAAAUAUUGCUCAGCCUUACAAAGGGAAUUCUGGUACCUGCUACAACAUGAAUAAAUCCUGAAGCCAUCCUAAGCAAAAUAAGUUGGUUACAAAAAGGUAAUUAUUGCAUGAUUCUGCCUUUUUUUUUUUUGCUUUUUAGGGCCACACCCGUGGCAUAUGGAGGUUCCUGGACUAGGGGUCAAAUUAGAGCUACAGCUGCUGGCCUACAUCACAGCUCAUGAUG